RNAcentral lists this long non-coding RNA (248 nucleotides) under dengue virus type 1. RNAcentral's name for it is "Dengue virus 1 partial sfRNA1". The stretch from base 149 to 220 matches the Rfam family "Flavivirus DB element". The record is from RNAcentral. Lineage: Riboviria; Orthornavirae; Kitrinoviricota; Flasuviricetes; Amarillovirales; Flaviviridae.
AAGAAGUCAGGCCGGAUUAAGCCAUAGUACGGUAAGAGCUAUGCUGCCUGUGAGCCCCGUCUAAGGACGUAAAAUGAAGUCAGGCCGGAAGCCACGGCUUGAGCAAACCGUGCUGCCUGUAGCUCCAUCGUGGGGAUGUAAAAACCUGGGAGGCUGCAACCCAUGGAAGCUGUACGCAUGGGGUAGCAGACUAGUGGUUAGAGGAGACCCCUCCCGAAACAUAACGCAGCAGCGGGGCCCAACACCAG